UACACUCCUACGGGAGGCAGCAGUGGGGAAUAUUGCACAAUGGGCGCAAGCCUGAUGCAGCCAUGCCGCGUGUAUGAAGAAGGCCUUCGGGUUGUAAAGUACUUUCAGCGGGGAGGAAGGCAAUACGGUUAAUAACCGUGUUGAUUGACGUUACCCGCAGAAGAAGCACCGGCUAACUCCGUGCCAGCAGCCGCGGUAAUACGGAGGGUGCAAGCGUUAAUCGGAAUUACUGGGCGUAAAGCGCACGCAGGCGGUCUGUCAAGUCGGAUGUGGAAUCCCCGGGCUCAACCUGGGAACUGCAUUCGAAACUGGCAGGCUUGAGUCUUGUAGAGGGGGGUAGAAUUCCAGGUGUAGCGGUGAAAUGCGUAGAGAUCUGGAGGAAUACCGGUGGCGAAGGCGGCCCCCUGGACAAAGACUGACGCUCAGGUGCGAAAGCGUGGGGAGCAAACAGGAUUAGAAACCCUUGUAGUCCCAUGAU
This 478-nucleotide ribosomal RNA is filed under the name uncultured organism. Its description in RNAcentral is "partial 16S ribosomal RNA". It matches the Rfam family "Bacterial small subunit ribosomal RNA", at positions 332 to 801 of the family's 1533-position model. The record is from RNAcentral.